AAAGGAAUAGACGGGGACCCGCACAAGCAGCGGAGCAUGUGGUUUAAUUCGAAGCAACGCGAAAAACCUUACCAAGACUUGACAUUUAGUGCAUAAUCUGGAAACAGAUGAAGUUAUAGCAAUAUAACACUAGGACAGAUGGUGCAUGGUUGUCGUCAGCUCGUGUCGUGAGAUGUUGGGUUAAGUCCCGCAACGAGCGCAACCCUUACCGUUAGUUGCCAUCAUUAAGUUGGGAACUCUAGCGGAACUGCCGUAGAUAAUACGGAGGAAGGUGGGGAUGACGUCAAAUCAUCAUGCCUCUUACGUCUUGGGCUACACACGUGCUACAAUGGCCGCUACAAAGAGACGCAAUAUAGUAAUAUGGAGCAAAUCUCAAAAAAGCGGUCUCAGUUCGGAUUGAGGGCUGCAACUCGCCCUCAUGAAGUUGGAGUUGCUAGUAAUCCCGGAUCAGCAUGCCGGGGUGAAUGCGUUCCCGGGUCUUGUACACACCGCCCGU
This 496-nucleotide ribosomal RNA is filed under the name uncultured bacterium. RNAcentral's name for it is "bacterial SSU rRNA". It matches the Rfam family "Bacterial small subunit ribosomal RNA", at positions 903 to 1397 of the family's 1533-position model. The record is from RNAcentral.